UUUUAUGGAGAGUUUGAUCCUGGCUCAGGAUGAACGCUGGCGGCGUGCCUAAUACAUGCCAAGUCGAGCGAACGGACGAGAAGCUUGCUUCUCUGAUGUUAGCGGCGGACGGGUGAGUAACACGUGGAUAACCUACCUAUAAGACUGGGAUAACUUCGGGAAACCGGAGCUAAUACCGGAUAAUAUUUUGAACCGCAUGGUUCAAAAGUGAAAGACGGUCUUGCUGUCACUUAUAGAUGGAUCCGCGCUGCAUUAGCUAGUUGGUAAGGUAACGGCUUACCAAGGCAACGAUGCAUAGCCGACCUGAGAGGGUGAUCGGCCACACUGGAACUGAGACACGGUCCAGACUCCUACGGGAGGCAGCAGUAGGGAAUCUUCCGCAAUGGGCGAAAGCCUGACGGAGCAACGCCGCGUGAGUGAUGAAGGUCUUCGGAUCGUAAAACUCUGUUAUUAGGGAAGAACAUAUGUGUAAGUAACUGUGCACAUCUUGACGGUACCUAAUCAGAAAGCCACGGCUAACUACGUGCCAGCAGCCGCGGUAAUACGUAGGUGGCAAGCGUUAUCCGGAAUUAUUGGGCGUAAAGCGCGCGUAGGCGGUUUUUUAAGUCUGAUGUGAAAGCCCACGGCUCAACCGUGGAGGGUCAUUGGAAACUGGAAAACUUGAGUGCAGAAGAGGAAAGUGGAAUUCCAUGUGUAGCGGUGAAAUGCGCAGAGAUAUGGAGGAACACCAGUGGCGAAGGCGACUUUCUGGUCUGUAACUGACGCUGAUGUGCGAAAGCGUGGGGAUCAAACAGGAUUAGAUACCCUGGUAGUCCACGCCGUAAACGAUGAGUGCUAAGUGUUAGGGGGUUUCCGCCCCUUAGUGCUGCAGCUAACGCAUUAAGCACUCCGCCUGGGGAGUACGACCGCAAGGUUGAAACUCAAAGGAAUUGACGGGGACCCGCACAAGCGGUGGAGCAUGUGGUUUAAUUCGAAGCAACGCGAAGAACCUUACCAAAUCUUGACAUCCUUUGACAACUCUAGAGAUAGAGCCUUCCCCUUCGGGGGACAAAGUGACAGGUGGUGCAUGGUUGUCGUCAGCUCGUGUCGUGAGAUGUUGGGUUAAGUCCCGCAACGAGCGCAACCCUUAAGCUUAGUUGCCAUCAUUAAGUUGGGCACUCUAAGUUGACUGCCGGUGACAAACCGGAGGAAGGUGGGGAUGACGUCAAAUCAUCAUGCCCCUUAUGAUUUGGGCUACACACGUGCUACAAUGGACAAUACAAAGGGCAGCGAAACCGCGAGGUCAAGCAAAUCCCAUAAAGUUGUUCUCAGUUCGGAUUGUAGUCUGCAACUCGACUACAUGAAGCUGGAAUCGCUAGUAAUCGUAGAUCAGCAUGCUACGGUGAAUACGUUCCCGGGUCUUGUACACACCGCCCGUCACACCACGAGAGUUUGUAACACCCGAAGCCGGUGGAGUAACCUUUUAGGAGCUAGCCGUCGAAGGUGGGACAAAUGAUUGGGGUGAAGUCGUAACAAGGUAGCCGUAUCGGAAGGUGCGGCUGGAUCACCUUGGAAAC
RNAcentral lists this ribosomal RNA (1556 nucleotides) under Staphylococcus aureus. RNAcentral's name for it is "16S ribosomal RNA". It matches the Rfam family "Bacterial small subunit ribosomal RNA". Lineage: Bacteria; Bacillati; Bacillota; Bacilli; Caryophanales; Staphylococcaceae. The record is from RNAcentral.